UACGGAGGGGGCGAGCGUUAUUCGGAAUUACUGGGCGUAAAGGGCUCGUAGGUGGCCAACUAAGUCAGACGUGAAAUCCCUCAGCUUAACUGGGGAACUGCGUCUGAUACUGGAUGGCUUGAGUUUGGGAGAGGGAUGCGGAAUUCCAGGUGUAGCGGUGAAAUGCGUAGAUAUCUGGAGGAACACCGGUGGCGAAGGCGGCAUCCUGGACCAACACUGACACUGAGGAGCGAAAGCGUGGGUAGCAAACAGG
Molecule: ribosomal RNA, 253 nt
Filed under: uncultured bacterium
Lineage: Bacteria
Description: partial 16S ribosomal RNA
Rfam family: Bacterial small subunit ribosomal RNA
Source: RNAcentral